This 227-nucleotide ribosomal RNA is filed under the name uncultured bacterium. RNAcentral describes it as "partial 16S ribosomal RNA". It matches the Rfam family "Bacterial small subunit ribosomal RNA", at positions 107 to 334 of the family's 1533-position model. The record is from RNAcentral.
UGAGUAACACGUAUCCAACCUGCCGUCUACUCUUGGACAGCCUUCUGAAAGGAAGAUUAAUACAAGAUGGCAUCAUGAGUUCACAUGUUCACAUGAUUAAAGAUAUUCCGGUAGACGAUGGGGAUGCGUUCCAUUAGAUAGUAGGCGGGGUAACGGCCCACCUAGUCUUUGAUGGAUAGGGGUUCUGAGAGGAAGGUCCCCCACAUUGGAACUGAGACACGGUCCAA